This is a non-coding RNA of Sus scrofa (pig), 4118 nucleotides long. The record is from RefSeq and is a predicted model, not a curated record. NCBI's taxonomy places the organism in Eukaryota, Metazoa, Chordata, Mammalia, Artiodactyla, Suidae.
CAGUCACCAAAAAUUGAGACGCCUGGAUGGGGGCUGGGCACCGAAUCCUCGGCUCCAGAGGUCCUCUGUCUCUUUUCUCUGCAUUCCAGCCUUUGUCACCCCAGUUGAGUCCAUAACAUGGAGGUGUGCUCAUCAUCAGCAUCGGAAGCUGUCCCCCCAAAUGUUUUUCUUAAACGCAUGAACAGGGAGCGUUUUGGUGUCUGGAAGGAAAAGUACAGUCCCUGAGACCAAAUCCAUCAUGUUUUUGUCAUGUGAGGACGCAUGGGAAAAAGGACCCUGUGUAAAUCAGAAACAAAGAAGACAAAACAAGGAGAGGCGGCAGACAAGGUGAUGGAGAAGGGGCCUGGAGUGCACACGGGUAGCUGCAGAGGACCAAGGAACAGGAGGAAGGCUGCCCUCCCCAGGCUUGCAAGGAGACACCUCCCCCAGUGUUCACUCCAGGGAAGGGGACGGCCUUCCUCUUAGCCACUCAAGCAGGGGUCCAAGGAAGAACCCAAAGCAUUAACUAUCUAGGGACCAACCUGAGCCAGGAGCUGCAAGACCUCUACACCGAGAGCAAUAAAACAUGACUCAAGGAAGUUGAAGAGGAGUCAAAGAAGGGGAGAGAUAGUCCAUGCUCCUGGCUUGGAAAAAUGAAUAUCCUAAAAAUGGCCAUUCUACGCAAAGCAAUCUACAGAUUCAAUGCCAUCCCCACCUGUGAUAGUUUUCACAGAAGUAGAACAAAACCAUCCAAACAUUUACACGGAACCAAAACAGGCCCAGAAUGGCCAAGGCAAUCCUGAGGAACAAAAACCAGGCAGGAGGCACACCUCUCCCAGACUUUGGUCAAUAUUACAAAGCUACAGUAAGCAAGACAGUGUGGUAAAGGUACCAAAACCGACACACAGACCAUUGGAACAGAAUGCAGAACCCAGAAAUAACCCCCAAACCGACGGUCAAUUAUUCUUCAACUGAGGGGGCAAGAAUGUAAAAUGGGGAAAAGACAGUCUGUUCAGCGAGUGGUGCUGGGAAGCUGGACAGCCACAUGAAAAUCCAUGAAACUGGAAAACACCCUCAAACCGUGCACAAAGAGAAACUCAAAACGGCUUAAAGACUGAAACGUAAGACAAGACACCAUCAAACUCCUGGAGGAGAAUGUCCGCAAAACAUUCUCUGACAUCAAAGCAUUUCUGUAGGUCACACUGAGUGCAAGGAAAAAGAAACCAAAGCAAAACUAAACAAAUGAGUCCUAAUCAAGCCCAUAAGCCCUUGCACAGCAAAGGAACUCAUAAAAACUAACACAGCCUAUGGAAUGGGAGAAAAUAGUUUCAAGUGAUGCAACUGACAUCAGCCUAACAUCUAAAACACACACACACACACACACACACACACACACACACACAAAUCAAGACACUUCCAACACAACAGCAAAAACAAACAACCCAUUUGAAAAAUGGGCAAGAGAACUGAACAGACAGUUACCCAAGGAAGAUAGACAGCCAGCCAACAGGCACAUCAAAACAUGCUCAACAUCAUGAAUGAUUAGAACAAGGCAUAUCAAGGCUACGAAGAAGGACCACCUCACACCUGUCAGAAUGGCCAUCAUUAGUAAGUCUAGAAAUAACAAAUGCUGGAGAGGGUGUGGAGAAGAGGGAACCCUCCCUCCUACCCUGUUGGUAGGAAUGUAGCUUGGUACAACCGCUAUGGAAAACACCAUGCAGGUACCUUGGAAAACUAAAUGUAGAACUAGCAUGUGACCCAGCAAUCCCACUCUUGGGCGAAUAUGGGGACAAGACUUGCCUUGAACAAGAUACAUGCACCCAUGGAUGUUUACAUACAGUGCUGAAUGUCCAUUGCAGCACUCCUCACACUAGCCAAGACAUGGAAACAACCUAAAUGUCCAUCGACAGGUGAAUGGGUUAGGAGGAGGUGGGAUAGAUACACAAUGGGAUACUCCUCAGCCAUAAAAGGAAGGAAUAGUGCCAUUUGCACCAAAGUGGGUGGAACUAGAGACGCUCACACUAAGCAAAGUCCCUCAGAAAGAGAAACACCAAUCCCGUACGAUAGCACUUAUACCUGGACUCUAAUACACAGCACAAAUGAUCCUUUCCACGGAAUAGAAACUCAAGGACUUGGAGAAGGGACUUGUGCUUGCCAACAGGGACAGGGAGGGAGUGGGAUGGACUGGGCCUCUGGGCUUAAGGGAUGCAAACCAUUGCAUCUGGACUGGAUAAGCAAUGAGAGCCCACUGGAUUGCACAGGGAACAAUAUCCAGUCACUCACGAAGGAACGUGAUAGAGGAUAAUGGGAGAAAAUGUAUGCAUGCCUGUGUGUAUGUGCACGUGCACACGCACGUGUGUGCACCUGUGCGUGACAGGAUCACUUUCCUGCACCGUAGAAAUUAACAGAAAAAUUUAAACCUAGUAUAAUGGAAAAAAUAAAAAAUCAUUUAAAAAGUUAAAACUUUACUGGAGGGAUAAUUUCUAGGAAAAGUAUGCUAAUGAAAGGAUUCACAAUACAUUGAUCUUAAAAUCAAAAAUAGAAGACAUGACAAUGCUCUAAUCCAACCAUUAAUAGCAGCCACUAUCCAUCCCAUGACAGUUUUUCUGCAGGCUUCAUUUUGUGCGUGGGCCCUGAACAAAAGGAUGUCCACACUCACAAGAGCCUUACAACAAGAGGGGCUUACUUCAUGGAGAGAAACACAGAGGGAGCACGGAGUCCUUCUCACCCAGAUGGGCAGCGAGUUUGUACAAUGGUGCCGGACACCAGGCUAAGGAUGAGGGUGCACUCUGAGCUCUCACUUGCAACAUCGCCUGGGUGUGUGCUACCUAGGGUGGCCAAACGUAAGAAUGACAGUGACACCGUCCAAUACAAGACGACGCCUCUCCGAUUCCCAUCUGCUUUGGCCGUGUUGAAGCAAUGACAGCAGCACUGGCAGGGACCUUUUAAAAUGCACAGCAUCAACAGGACCUCUGGAGACCCUGGUCUUCCCGGGCAUAGACACAGAGCAGGGGCCCUCCCCGCUCCGUGCUCCCCAUGAAUGAUCAAAUCCUGGCUGAGGGAGAGGCGCAAGGCAGGGCUCCAGAGCAUCCCCAUAGGGAACCCAGCCUGGGUCCCACUUUGGCUUUUCCACGUAGGAGGUCAAGAGCUUGGGCCAACGGUCUCUGCCCCAUUGGGAACAGUGGCGGUGAGGGAUGAGUGCAUGCCUGUAGAGGUGGUAUGCGGAGGUGAUGGGAUGUGUCUUAAGGAAAGUUGAGAGGUGUAUUUUCUGUAUAAAUAGGAGCGAGCUCAUGAGGAAACAGAUGCUUACACCACAAGUGCGCACACAUGGACCUCACUCCCUGUCCCUCCUAAUGUGUCACAACCCAAGGAAUCAACACAAGAGACUUGUGUCCAGGGCAUGUACCACCAGGGCAUCACUCUGACCGGGAAAGAGCUGCCUGCUCAACAUCCCAGACGACCCCCUUUCCAAAAGCAUCCCAGGAUCUGGCCACUCUCCAACCAAUGCCAGCAAGGAAGACCCACCUUCUUCUUCAACUUCAACCUGAUUGUUCGUCACUGGAGUCGUGAUCUCUGACGUCACUGCAUUAUCAUUAGUCGUUUCACUGGUCAUCAUCUAGUGCAAGAAAACAGUGUGAGAUCUCAGCUUCCUGGUCUCUAUGGACACAAGAAUUGUCAUGGUCUUUCUGUCCAUCAAAACCCAAAAGGGAAACACGCCUCGAGUCCAUGGUCCCAAAGAGAACACAGAGGUCAUCCUGGACAGAGGCUUCAAAUCUCCGUGGAGGAAUUCUUAUGUGUACUUUGACACCAAAUCACCAAAAUCUCUUGCAAGGAGGGCAAUUCUCUGCUGAUAACACUGCUCUCAGCCAUACUUCCAGUUUCUAAAGGCUAUUGUCAUUUUUUCAAUCAGUCACACAUUGGGAGAGACAUUCAGUCAACAUGCAUCCAACCCAGGAAAAAUGUAGGUCUCCACUGAUUUGAACAGUUUAGACUUUCAUAGUUGAAAUUGGUAGACAAAAGGAGGAAAUUGGAGUUCCCGUCUUGGCACAGUGGAACCAAAACUGACUAGAAAGCAUGAGGUUGCGGGUUUGAUCCCUGGACUCGCUCAGUGGGUUAAGGGUCUGGUGUUGCCAUGCGCU